Molecule: non-coding RNA, 97 nt
Filed under: Ornithinibacillus halophilus
Lineage: Bacteria; Bacillati; Bacillota; Bacilli; Caryophanales; Bacillaceae
Source: RNAcentral
GCGAGCCGUAUACGCUGAAAGGUGUAUGUACGGUUCUGAGGGGGAAGUUGUGAAAACUGCUUUGGAAACAAAGCAAGGCGUAUGGCUUCUACCCUAC